GAAGUUCUACAGAUUUCCGGGCAAGUGGUACGAGAAGGACAGACGACGAGCAUGGAUAACUGCAGUGCGCCGAGUCAAAUGGAAGCAGCGCCAAACAGACCAAUGGCAAUCACAACAGUCUUCUCAGCAGUCAGCCCCACCGGGACAUGUGCUUUCGUACUGCUGCUCAACAGCAAGACACGUGUGAAACAGACUCCAGAACAUGCCUUUGUGAAGUGACGGAACCGUCAAGAAGCAGCCCAAUGGAUCUGCAGUCAUCGAGUAGUAUAUGACAACAGAAGUUCCUGCUGCCAGUGUGACUUACGUUGUAAUUGAAAUAAAAGUGGCUAAAUUUCUGAA
Dermacentor andersoni is the source of this 339-nucleotide non-coding RNA. The record is from RefSeq and is a predicted model, not a curated record. NCBI's taxonomy places the organism in Eukaryota, Metazoa, Arthropoda, Arachnida, Ixodida, Ixodidae.